ACGGAAGAAGGGGAUUACCAGGUAAAACUCCGCAACCUGGUACGUUUCCUGAGUGAUGGGGACAGGGCCAAGGUAUCCUUGCGAUUCCGCGGCCGUGAGAUGGCGCAUCAGGAGCUGGGCAUGGAGCUGUUGAAGCGGGUCGAAGGCGACCUGCUUGAAUACGGCUCCGUUGAACAGCAUCCGAAGAUGGAAGGACGCCAGCUGAUCAUGGUCAUCGCCCCCAAGAAAAAGAAGUAACCACCAGGGCACGGCAGGCCUUGCGGUUAUGUUUAUCAAUUGAAUGUGGAGUACCCGAACAUGCCAA
RNAcentral lists this unclassified non-coding RNA (304 nucleotides) under Pseudomonas coleopterorum. Its description in RNAcentral is "Long range pseudoknot". The record is from RNAcentral. Lineage: Bacteria; Pseudomonadati; Pseudomonadota; Gammaproteobacteria; Pseudomonadales; Pseudomonadaceae.